UAAUAGCGUAUAUUAAUGUUGUUGCAGUUAAAAAGCUCGUAGUUGGAUUUUGGUGUUUGACAAACGGUCGGCCUUACGGUUGGUACUGUUUGUUGGCACUUCUUUUCUGGGGAACUCACUGUUCUUAAUUGAAGGGUGUUGUAACGCAGAUCGUUUACUUUGAAAAAAUUAGAGUGUUCAAAGCAGGCCGUCGCAUUGAAUACAUUAGCAUGGAAUAAUGGAAUAGGACUUUGGUGCUAUUUUGUUGGUUUCGAACACCGAAGUAAUGAUGAGCAGGGACAGUCAGGGGCACUCGUAUUCCGCCGAGAGAGGUGAAAUUCUCAGACCAGCGGAAGACGAACUACUGCGAAAGCAUUUGCCAGGGAUGUUUUCACUGAUCAAGAACGAAAGUUAGGGGAUCGAAGACGAUCAGAUACCGU
RNAcentral lists this ribosomal RNA (419 nucleotides) under uncultured eukaryote. RNAcentral's name for it is "bacterial SSU rRNA". It matches the Rfam family "Eukaryotic small subunit ribosomal RNA", at positions 592 to 1018 of the family's 1831-position model. The record is from RNAcentral.